UAAGGAUAUGCUCCCAGAAAUUGUAUGCCAAUUAGUCAUGAGUUCUAUCGUCCAGGUAGUUUUUUGACUUAGCUUUUCCCCAUUGCUUAGAUGAGUUCCUCAUCCUAACAUUAGCUUGAACCAUUUUCAGAUAGGUCUGGAUCUGGCUUAUGCAUUAAUAAAUGUAAAGUCUAAAAAAUAUCACUCCCCCCCUCAAAAAAAAAACCUCCCAAACUCAAAAUCUCCUGGUAAAUUAUAAUUUAACCUAGUAGAAAGAUGUCACA
Molecule: long non-coding RNA, 263 nt
Filed under: Bos taurus (domestic cattle)
Lineage: Eukaryota; Metazoa; Chordata; Mammalia; Artiodactyla; Bovidae
Description: long non-coding RNA NONBTAT015896
Source: RNAcentral